ACUCCUACGGGAGGCAGCGGUGGGGAAUUUUGGACAAUGGGCGCAAGCCUGAUCCAGCAAUGCCGCGUGCAGGAAGAAGGCCUUCGGGUUGUAAACUGCUUUUGUGCGGAACGAAACGGCGAGCUCUAAUACAGUUUGCUAAUGACGGUACCGUAAGAAUAAGCACCGGCUAACUACGUGCCAGCAGCCGCGGUAAUAC
Molecule: ribosomal RNA, 199 nt
Filed under: uncultured bacterium
Lineage: Bacteria
Description: partial 16S ribosomal RNA
Rfam family: Bacterial small subunit ribosomal RNA
Source: RNAcentral